Long non-coding RNA from Oreochromis niloticus (Nile tilapia), 435 nucleotides. RefSeq lists it as uncharacterized. The transcript has 2 exons. NCBI's taxonomy places the organism in Eukaryota, Metazoa, Chordata, Actinopteri, Cichliformes, Cichlidae. The record is from RefSeq and is a predicted model, not a curated record.
AAAGGCUGACAGACGAAUGCCAGAUGUGAUCUGCAGAGGCAAGUUCCCACGUAGGCCUGCGCUUAAUCACCGGUCACUUCAGAGGAGCUGACAGCAAGAAAUACACAUCAUGUCAAACAGCUUUAGUGAAGAUCAGUCUGUAUUCUGGGUUACCCACCUUAGCCACCUGAGCUGACUGAACCCACUCUAAAUGAUGCUUGGGGUUCGACCAGAGAAGCAAGUUUCACAACCUGGCUGCCAUCUUGGAUCAACUCCAGGUGUCUGAGAGCCUUAUUUUUCGUCUGGUGGUUAAAUAUUUGGUGACUCUGCCCCCAAAAUGAGAUUUAAAAGAACAACUUCCUGGUCAGAUUGUUCUUUUGCACAUUACACAUGAUGUUUCACAACUUUACAAGUCCUGAAACAACUGUGAACCUCAGUUGUGCACAUAUGUCAGUA